GGGGGGGAUUUGUUUAACAGUUUUCUAAGAAAAACGUUGAGCAAAAAUUAACUCCUUCUAGGCGCCCGUUGCUGGCCGAGCCCAGAGGCCCGCAGCCCUGGAAGCAGGUGGGUCCAGGUAAAACCUUUCUCUUAUAGCUACACGGUUCUCAAAGAACCAGGACAUCUUCAGCUGUCAUCUUGCCCUUGAGUGUCACAGCAUCACAGGACCAUUGAGGCUUCAACUUGUGACCAGAGGCAAAAUGGAGUUGUUUCUGUAUGCCAUAGCCGGCUCUCAGGUCUGUAUCAAGGAUCUGCACUAGGAAGGCUCAAAGGCCAGUGGUGGAAGCCAGAAAGUCUGCACCAGGGGGUAAAGGAUCUGCGCCACAAGGCUGAGGGAUCUGCACCGGAGCCAGGAAGUAACGCUCGAGGCAAAGACCAGAGCUCCCCAGAAAGCAGCCAUCACCAGUGACAGCGAGGAUCUGAGCUCCUCUGACGUUGAGAACUGUGGACUUUACAUCAGGAAAACCAGCCUCAACAAGCUUCUCCAGGAAAAUCAACAGCAUGCACUCUUCCCCUCCAGUUCUCCUUUUAUGCCACUCUGACAACAAUCCUCAGGUGGGUCUUCCAUGCCCAGAAGCACACUGACUCAGUUCAGCUGGGCAUUCCCACUCAAGCUGACCAUUGGUUAAUCCACCACAGGCAGAGUGCUUGAUCCCUUUCUCCUUUCCCUCAACAUCACAGAGAAAGUCAUUCCAUGUCAGCUCAUCUUGAUGAUCCACAGGUUCUUCAUUUUAUCCAUCUGAGCCAUCAUUUGCUUUAAAUUCCCAUUUGUCCCACCUACUGUGAACAAGGAAAGAAUCUAUUUACUUUCUUUGUAAAAAUACUCUAUACGCUUUAAAACAAGAACAGAAACAAUUUUUAGUCUCAUCUCCUCCAAAUAAGACAAGACACUACUCAGAACAUUGCAGGUCUUGUUGCCGAAUUUAGCUGAUGAAAAUAUAGUACUCUUGGUGAAAUUUGAAUUUUGGCUAAACAAUGCAUUUCUAAUAUAAAUUUGUUGCAAAUAUUCCAUGCGCGAAUAUUGCAUGGGAUAUGUGUACAUUAAAAAUUAUUGAUCAUUCAAUUAAAAUUCAGAUUGAGUAUUCUGUAUGGCUGCCCUGUGCUGGGUAGGAG
Heterocephalus glaber (naked mole-rat) is the source of this 1154-nucleotide long non-coding RNA. The record is from Ensembl. NCBI's taxonomy places the organism in Eukaryota, Metazoa, Chordata, Mammalia, Rodentia, Bathyergidae.